Transfer RNA from Siansivirga zeaxanthinifaciens CC-SAMT-1, 73 nucleotides. It matches the Rfam family "tRNA". From Rfam's summary of the family: Transfer RNA (tRNA) molecules are approximately 80 nucleotides in length. Their secondary structure includes four short double-helical elements and three loops (D, anti-codon, and T loops). NCBI's taxonomy places the organism in Bacteria, Pseudomonadati, Bacteroidota, Flavobacteriia, Flavobacteriales, Flavobacteriaceae. The record is from Rfam.
GACCUGGUAGCUCAGCUGGUAGAGCAUUUCACUUUUAAUGAAAGGGUCCUGGGUUCGAAUCCCAGCCCGGUCA